Molecule: unclassified non-coding RNA, 1116 nt
Filed under: Hevea brasiliensis (rubber tree)
Lineage: Eukaryota; Viridiplantae; Streptophyta; Magnoliopsida; Malpighiales; Euphorbiaceae
Source: RNAcentral
AUUUUAUUUUUCUAAUAUUGUUCUGAUAAAAUAUAUUACUUUUUGCAUUAUUAAUUAAUUUAUACCAUUAAUAAAUUUUAUUAAUUUGUGUUGCAUUAUCAAACUCAAGAACUAUAAUUAAGGAUGGGUUGAUAGCUUGUGAACUUACACCAAAACAAGCACAAGCUAUCUCCAAGAAGAUCAACUUAGAACUCCAGCUUGAUAAAUUUUUAUCAUAUAAAGACUCAAUGGUCAAAGUUGAACAUGGCAAAUGGCAUAGGCCAGUUGCUUCUUCAAAAGAAAGGAAAAUGCUCAAAAAAAUUCUUUUGACAAUAAGACAUCAAAAGAGCACAAAGCAUCUUAUGAUAAACUUGUAGGAAAAUUUAAAAUUAUUUCAAAAGUUGAACUUACUUAUCCAACAAAAAUAAAAUAAUUUUUUUUUUACCUUGCUGCACACAUACAUAGGGGAUUUCCCCUAGUUUACCCUUUUGGGGAGUAGUGAUCUCAGCAAUAGGACACAAUUCUUUAGUUAUACAAGUAAAUAAUAAUUAAUAAAUGAGUCAUAAUGAAUAGUAAAAACUAGAGGGUAAAAUCAGCAUACAAAGUGGGUAUAAGAUGUGGAAUUCAUGCUUAGAUGGAAUGAAAAUGGUUUUGCCACAAUGAGAUCACAACACCACCAUCAGUAUGAAAACCAAGAUUAAAAUCUAAGCUUUGAUUUCAUGUUCUCAAAUGGAGUUUCUUCAAUUCCUUGUUAUGAAAAUAAUCAACUCAACUACUUAACUAAGCUUUAAUCCCAAAUUAGCUAGGUUCAGCUAUAUGAAUAUGUUUCCUUCAUUCCACCUGGUUUAUGGGUACAUCUUUAGAAAAAGCUAGGGCUGCCAAGUCCUUUCUUAAUAUUUCUCCUCACAUCAAAUUAGGUCUACAUAUUUGGCAAAAAGAUUAAAAAGGGAAAGUUUAAAAAGGGAAUAUGUAAUAUUCCCUUUUUAAGAAAAGAGCAAAGUUUAAAAAGGGAAAAAAAAAUCAUUUGGCAAAAAGAUUAACAGAGUGCCAUAUUUUUUAGCAAUUUGAAUAAAUUAUACAAUUCCACAAAUGCCAGCAAUAUCCAAUCUCUAGCAGUCCAUCUGUAACAAGCAUAAA